AGAGUUUGAUUCUGGCUCAGGAUGAACGCUAGCUACAGGCUUAACACAUGCAAGUCGAGGGGCAGCGAGAAGGAAGCUUGCUUCUUGUCGGCGACCGGCGCACGGGUGAGUAACGCGUAUCCAACCUUCCCCUUAGUAGGGCAUAGCCCGUAGAAAUGCGGAUUAAUACCCUAUGUUAUUCGUCGAGGACAUCUGAAGUGAAUCAAAGGUUUACCGCUAAGGGAUGGGGAUGCGUCUGAUUAGGCAGCAGGCGGGGUAACGGCCCACCUGGCCUACGAUCAGUAGGGGUUCUGAGAGGAAGGUCCCCCACAUUGGAACUGAGACACGGUCCAAACUCCUACGGGAGGCAGCAGUGAGGAAUAUUGGUCAAUGGGCGAGAGCCUGAACCAGCCAAGUAGCGUGCAGGAUGACGGCCCUAUGGGUUGUAAACUGCUUUUAUGCGGGGAUAAAGUGAGGGACGUGUCCCUUAUUGUAGGUACCGCAUGAAUAAGGACCGGCUAAUUCCGUGCCAGCAGCCGC
This 519-nucleotide ribosomal RNA is filed under the name uncultured bacterium. Its description in RNAcentral is "bacterial SSU rRNA". It matches the Rfam family "Bacterial small subunit ribosomal RNA", at positions 8 to 518 of the family's 1533-position model. The record is from RNAcentral.